UGCGUAGGCGGCGCGGAAAGUCAGGGGUGAAAUCCCGGAGCUCAACUCCGGAACUGCCUUUGAUACUCCCGCGCUUGAGAACUGGAGGGGACAUCGGAAUUCACGGUGGAGCAGUGAAAUGCGUGGAUAUCGUGAGGAACACUAGUGGCGAAGGCGGAUGUCUGGACAGUAUCUGACGCUGAGGACAAGGCCAGGGGAGCGAACG
RNAcentral lists this ribosomal RNA (205 nucleotides) under uncultured bacterium. RNAcentral describes it as "partial 16S ribosomal RNA". It matches the Rfam family "Bacterial small subunit ribosomal RNA", at positions 568 to 774 of the family's 1533-position model. The record is from RNAcentral.